AACGCGAAGAACCUUACCAAGUCUUGACAUCCCCCUGACCGUUCCGUAAUGGGAACCUCUCUUCGGAGCAGGGGAGACAGGUGGUGCAUGGUUGUCGUCAGCUCGUGUCGUGAGAUGUUGGGUUAAGUCCCGCAACGAGCGCAACCCUUAUCCUUAGUAGCCAGCAGGUAAAGCUGGGCACUCUAGGGGGACUGCCAGGGAGAACCUGGAGGAAGGUGGGGAUGACGUCAAAUCAUCAUGCCCCUUAUGACUUGGGCUACACAUGUGCUACAAUGGCGUAAACAAAGGGAAGCAGCCCUGUGAAGGUGAGCAAAUCCCAAAAAUAACGUCUCAGUUCGGAUUGUAGUCUGCAACUCGACUACAUGAAGCUGGAAUCGCUAGUAAUCGCGGAUCAGAAUGCCGCGGUGAAUACGUUCCCGGGUCUUGUACACACCG
Molecule: ribosomal RNA, 435 nt
Filed under: uncultured bacterium
Lineage: Bacteria
Description: bacterial SSU rRNA
Rfam family: Bacterial small subunit ribosomal RNA
Source: RNAcentral